UGGCGAGGUGGAGCAGUGGCAGCUCGCCGGGCUCAUAACCCGGAGGUCGCAGGUUCGAGUCCUGCCUUCGCAACCA
RNAcentral lists this transfer RNA (76 nucleotides) under Ruminococcus sp. RNAcentral describes it as "tRNA-Met". It matches the Rfam family "tRNA". Rfam says of the family: Transfer RNA (tRNA) molecules are approximately 80 nucleotides in length. Their secondary structure includes four short double-helical elements and three loops (D, anti-codon, and T loops). The record is from RNAcentral. Lineage: Bacteria; Bacillati; Bacillota; Clostridia; Eubacteriales; Oscillospiraceae.